GACGAACGCUGGCGGCGUGCUUAACACAUGCAAGUCGAACGGUAAGGCCCUUCGGGGUACACGAGUGGCGAACGGGUGAGUAACACGUGGGUGAUCUGCCCUGCACUUCGGGAUAAGCCUGGGAAACUGGGUCUAAUACCGGAUAGGGCCACUGCCUGCAUGGGUGGUGGUGGAAAGCUUUUGCGGUGUGAGAUGGGCCCGCGGCCUAUCAGCUUGUUGGUGGGGUGAUGGCCUACCAAGGCGACGACGGGUAGCCGGCCUGAGAGGGUGACCGGCCACACUGGGACUGAGAUACGGCCCAGACUCCUACGGGAGGCAGCAGUGGGGAAUAUUGCACAAUGGGCGCAAGCCUGAUGCAGCGACGCCGCGUGAGGGAUGACGGCCUUCGGGUUGUAAACCUCUUUCAGCACCGACGAAGCGCAAGUGACGGUAGGUGCAGAAGAAGGACCGGCCAACUACGUGCCAGCCGCCGCGGUAA
This 478-nucleotide ribosomal RNA is filed under the name uncultured bacterium. RNAcentral describes it as "partial 16S ribosomal RNA". It matches the Rfam family "Bacterial small subunit ribosomal RNA", at positions 28 to 523 of the family's 1533-position model. The record is from RNAcentral.